CUUCAAGUCAAAGUGUGCGAUGCGCUUGGAAUGCAGGUAAUGCACCCCGUCCAGGAUCUGCUUGAGGAACUGCGUGGCCUCCUCCUCCGUCAGCGAUUCCUUCUCGGCCAGGAAGUCGAAGAGCUCCCCGCCCGACACCAGCUCCAGGAUCAGCACCACGUCCGUCUUGUUCUCGAAGAUGUCGUGCAGUGUGAUGAUGUUGGGGUGUUGGAUCUCCCUCAGGAUGUCCACCUCCCUCUCGAUCUCCUCCCUGCUCACACCCCGACGGCUCGACGACAGCCGCCGCUUCUUGAUGAAUUUGGCCGCGUAUUCCACGCCCGUUUUCCUCUCCCGGCAUUUUCUCACGAUGGCGAAUUGGCCGCUGCCCAGCUCUUCCCCCAUCUCGUAGAAGUCCUCCACGCUCUCCUGCCGGAAGGUGGACAUGGCCGCGGCCCCGCGGUUC
This 442-nucleotide long non-coding RNA is filed under the name Gallus gallus (chicken). Lineage: Eukaryota; Metazoa; Chordata; Aves; Galliformes; Phasianidae. The record is from RNAcentral.